GACGAACGCUGGCGGCGUGCUUAACACAUGCAAGUCGAACGGAGUUACGUAUGAAGUAUUUCGGUACGGACUAUGUAACUUAGUGGCGAACGGGUGAGUAACACGUGGGCAACCUGCCCUUAACCGGGGGAUAACAUUGUGAAAACAGUGCUAAUACCGCAUAACAGAGUAUCGGGCAUCCGAUAUUUUUAAAAGGAGCAAUCCGGUUUAGGAUGGGCCCGCGUCCAAUUAGCUAGUUGGUGAGGUAACGGCUCACCAAGGCUACGAUUGGUAGCCGAACUGAGAGGAUGAUCAGCCACACUGGGACUGAGACACGGCCCAGACUCCUACGGGAGGCAGCAGUGGGGAAUUUUGGACAAUGGGCGCAAGCCUGAUCCAGCCAUUCCGCGUGCAGGACGAAGGCCUUCGGUUGUAAACUGCUUUUGUACGGACGAAAAGGUACUUCUCUAAUACAGAGGGCCCAUGACGGUACCGUAAGAAUAAGCACCGGCUAACUAACGUGCCAGCAGCCGCGGUAAU
RNAcentral lists this ribosomal RNA (519 nucleotides) under uncultured bacterium. Its description in RNAcentral is "bacterial SSU rRNA". It matches the Rfam family "Bacterial small subunit ribosomal RNA", at positions 28 to 524 of the family's 1533-position model. The record is from RNAcentral.